AGGCUUAACACAUGCAAGUCGACGCCCCGCAAGGGGAGCGGCAGACGGGUGAGUAACGCGUGGGAACGUACCCUUUACUACGGAAUAACGCAGGGAAACUUGUGCUAAUACCGUAUGUGCCCUUCGGGGGAAAGAUUUAUCGGUAAAGGAUCGGCCCGCGUUGGAUUAGCUAGUUGGUGGGGUAAAGGCCUACCAAGGCGACGAUCCAUAGCUGGUCUGAGAGGAUGAUCAGCCACAUUGGGACUGAGACACGGCCCAAACUCCUACGGGAGGCAGCAGUGGGGAAUAUUGGACAAUGGGCGCAAGCCUGAUCCAGCCAUGCCGCGUGAGUGAUGAAGGCCCUAGGGUUGUAAAGCUCUUUCACCGGAGAAGAUAAUGACGGUAUCCGGAGAAGAAGCCCCGGCUAACUUCGUGCCAGCAGCCGCGGUAAUACGAAGGGGGCUAGCGUUGUUCGGAAUUACUGGGCGUAAAGCGCACGUAGGCGGAUCGAUCAGUCAGGGGUGAAAUCCCAGGGCUCAACCCUGGAACUGCCUUUGAUACUGCGAUCUGGAGUAUGGAAGAAGUGAGUGGAAUUCCGAGUGUAGAGGUGAAAUUCG
This 596-nucleotide ribosomal RNA is filed under the name Rhizobium etli. RNAcentral describes it as "bacterial SSU rRNA". It matches the Rfam family "Bacterial small subunit ribosomal RNA", at positions 44 to 690 of the family's 1533-position model. The record is from RNAcentral. Lineage: Bacteria; Pseudomonadati; Pseudomonadota; Alphaproteobacteria; Hyphomicrobiales; Rhizobiaceae.